Non-coding RNA from Schizophyllum amplum, 92 nucleotides. The record is from the annotation of a GenBank genome assembly. NCBI's taxonomy places the organism in Eukaryota, Fungi, Basidiomycota, Agaricomycetes, Agaricales, Schizophyllaceae.
GCAUUAAUGGGGUAGUGGUAACCUGUGUCGUUGCCAUGGGAAUCGUACCCAGUGUUUUCGACCCGCCGGGGGUUCGAUUCCCCCUUAAUGCA